This 260-nucleotide ribosomal RNA is filed under the name uncultured bacterium. Its description in RNAcentral is "partial 16S ribosomal RNA". It matches the Rfam family "Bacterial small subunit ribosomal RNA", at positions 1241 to 1500 of the family's 1533-position model. The record is from RNAcentral.
AGAGAGAAGCGAUACCGCGAGGAGGAGCAAAUCUGAAAAAAACAAUCUCAGUUCAGACUGCAGGCUGCAACUCGCCUGCACGAAGUCGGAAUUGCUAGUAAUCGUAGGUCAGCAUACUACGGUGAAUACGUUCCCGGGCCUUGUACACACCGCCCGUCAAACCAUGAGAGUUGGCAACACCCGAAGUCGGUAGUCUAACCGCAAGGAGGACGCCGCCGAAGGUGGGGUUGAUGAUUAGGGUUAAGUCGUAACAAGGUAAC